Long non-coding RNA from Phacochoerus africanus (Common warthog), 606 nucleotides. RefSeq lists it as uncharacterized. NCBI's taxonomy places the organism in Eukaryota, Metazoa, Chordata, Mammalia, Artiodactyla, Suidae. The transcript is spliced from 2 exons. The record is from RefSeq and is a predicted model, not a curated record.
CUUCAAGGCUCUGAGUGACAAACAAAGCAACCUAGGGGCUCAGAAAGGCCAGCAUGCCUCCAUCACGUGAAACGUUCGGAGAUGUUAAACAUGUAAGGUGGCGAAUCCCCAAACCGUGACAAGAAAGAGAUUCCAGGCCACUGAUAUACUGCUGACUGCAACAGAUGUUUCAUAGAAAACAAUAAUUUAAAGAAUGGAUAAACACAGAGAGAUGCUCAGGCAGACACACUCUCUAAAGGUGGUUGGCAGGAAGUGUGGUCAACUGUAUAGGAUGGAGAGCCACAUAGCUGAGCAUGAAAAACAACCCUGCGAAGCUGAUGCUAAAACUACCAUCAAAUGGAAGAGGUGAACUACUUGAUGAACCUGAGCACGUAGCCCCAGACCUACUGGAGCCUAAGGAUUGAUAAUGUUAACCCCUGGGACACCUCCCUGUUACCUCACCGUCAACCAGUUGAAGAAUUGUGCACGAGCUGAUCACUUACCCAGGGACGCCCCCUUACCUGACCUUUAAAAGUGCUUUUCUGAAACCCAUCGGGGAGUUUGGAUGUUUUGAGCACGAGCUGGAUUGACACCUUGAAAUAAAUGCUGCACAUUCCUUCAACACAA